This 117-nucleotide ribosomal RNA is filed under the name Sinocyclocheilus anshuiensis. The record is from RNAcentral. Lineage: Eukaryota; Metazoa; Chordata; Actinopteri; Cypriniformes; Cyprinidae.
CGCCACAGCCAUAUCACCCUGCAGCCCAAGACUGGUUGCCCACUGAAGCUAAGCAGGGUUGAGCCUGGUCAGUACCUGGAUGGGAGACCUCCUGGGAAAACUAGGUUGCUGUUGGAA